AACGAACGCUGGCGGCGUGGAUAAGACAUGCAAGUCGAACGCUGAUCCAAGGGUAGCAAUAUUCUUGGAUCGGAGUGGCGCAAGGGUGCGUAACACGUGGGCAAUCUGCCGCGAAGCCUGGAAUAACCUGCUGAAAAGUGGGCUAAUGCCGGAUGUGACUGCUGAGGGGAUUCCUUUGGCACUCAAAGUUGGGGACCGAAAGGCCUGACGCUUUGCGAUGAGCCCGCGGCCUAUCAGCUAGUUGGCGAGG
RNAcentral lists this ribosomal RNA (250 nucleotides) under uncultured bacterium. RNAcentral describes it as "partial 16S ribosomal RNA". It matches the Rfam family "Bacterial small subunit ribosomal RNA", at positions 29 to 257 of the family's 1533-position model. The record is from RNAcentral.